GCUCAGUUGGUAGAGUACAAAGCUCUUAACCUUAUGGACGUGGGUUCGAGCCCCAU
Molecule: transfer RNA, 56 nt
Filed under: Triticum aestivum (bread wheat)
Lineage: Eukaryota; Viridiplantae; Streptophyta; Magnoliopsida; Poales; Poaceae
Rfam family: tRNA
About the family: Transfer RNA (tRNA) molecules are approximately 80 nucleotides in length.
Source: Rfam by way of RNAcentral